AUUGAACGCUGGCGGCAUGCCUUACACAUGCAAGUCGAACGGCAGCACGGGAGCUUGCUCCUGGUGGCGAGUGGCGAACGGGUGAGUAAUAUAUCGGAACGUACCUAGUAGUGGGGGAUAGCCCGGCGAAAGCCGGAUUAAUACCGCAUACGAUCUACGGAUGAAAGCGGGGGAUCGCAAGACCUCGCGCUAUUGGAGCGGCCGAUAUCUGAUUAGCUAGUUGGUGAGGUAAAGGCUCACCAAGGCUACGAUCAGUAGCUGGUCUGAGAGGACGACCAGCCACACUGGAACUGAGACACGGUCCAGACUCCUACGGGAGGCAGCAGUGGGGAAUUUUGGGCAAUGGGGGAAACCCUGAUCCAGCAAUGCCGCGUGAGUGAAGAAGGCCUUCGGGUUGUAAAGCUCUUUUGUCAGGGAAGAAACGGUAGAGGCUAAUAUCCUUUGCUAAUGACGGUACCUGAAGAAUAAGCACCGGCUAACUACGUGCCAGCCGCCGCCGUAA
This 502-nucleotide ribosomal RNA is filed under the name uncultured bacterium. Its description in RNAcentral is "partial 16S ribosomal RNA". It matches the Rfam family "Bacterial small subunit ribosomal RNA", at positions 30 to 523 of the family's 1533-position model. The record is from RNAcentral.